GCCGUAUUUAGCCCAAACCACAUUCAAUUUAAUUACUCCACCAACUAAAUCAAAACAUUCACCACCCCUUAAAAGUAUAGGAGAUAGAAAUUUUAACUGGCGCCAUAGAGAGAGUACCGCAAGGGAACAGUGAGAGAAAAAACCAAAGCACAAAACAGCAAAGAUUACCCCUUCUACCUUUUGCAUAAUGAUUUAACUAGAAUAACCUAGCAAAGAGAACUUAAGUUAGCACCCCCGAAACCAGACGAGCUAUUCACGAGCAGCCUAACAGGGCAAACUCGUCUAUGUGGCAAAAUAGCGAGAAGACUCGUGAAUAGAGGUGACAAGCCUACCGAGCCUGGUGAUAGCUGGUUGUCCAGAAAUGAAUUUUAGUUCAAACUUAAGCCUGCCUAAUAGAACUCUAACUUAACUGUAGACUUAAGAGAUACUCUAAAAGGGGACAGCCUUUUAGAUCAGGGAUACAACCCUCUCUAGAGAGUAAGCACAAUAACAGACCAUAGUUGGCCUAAAAGCAGCCACCAAUAAAGAAAGCGUUCAAGCUCAACAACAUGCCCCCCCCAAUCCCAAAAGAAGCUGCCAACUCCUAGUACAAAACUGGACUACUCUAUAACGACAUAGAAGAAAUACUGUUAAUAUGAGUAACAAGAAUUAUUUCUCCCCGCACAAGUGUAUAUCAGAUCGGAUGCCCGCUGAUAGUUAACAGACAUAAAGCAAAAUAAAUAACAAGCCCUUCAUAUACCCAACUGUUAACCCAACACAGGUGUGCCUCAAGGAAAGAUUAAAAAGAGUGAAAGGAACUCGGCAAACACAAACCCCGCCUGUUUACCAAAAACAUCGCCUCUAGCAUUAUCAGUAUUAGAGGUACUGCCUGCCCAGUGACAUACGUUCAACGGCCGCGGUAUCCUGACCGUGCAAAGGUAGCAUAAUCACUUGUUCUCUAAAUAGGGACUUGUAUGAAUGGCCACACGAGGGUUUUACUGUCUCUCACUCUAAAUCAGUGAAAUUGACCUCUCCGUGAAGAGGCGGAGAUAAUACAAUAAGACGAGAAGACCCUAUGGAGCUUUAAUUAACUAGCCUAAAAGCACUCAUCAAUUCCAAAAGGAAUAAACCAGCCUCCAACUAGGCUAGCAAUUUAGGUUGGGGUGACCUCGGAGUAUAAAACAUCCUCCGAGAAAUACAAGUUUAGACCUACCAGUCUAAGCAACACUACCUAUUGAUCCAAAACAUUUGAUCAACGGAACAAGUUACCCUAGGGAUAACAGCGCAAUCCUAUUUAAGAGUUCCUAUCGACAAUAGGGUUUACGACCUCGAUGUUGGAUCAGGACAUCCUAAUGGUGCAGCAGCUAUUAACGGUUCGUUUGUUCAACGAUUAAAGUCCUACGUGAUCUGAGUUCAGACCGGAGUAAUCCAGGUCGGUUUCUAUCUAUUUUAUGCCUCUCCCAGUACGAAAGGACCAGAGAGACAAGGCCAACUUUAUUAAAGCGCCUUCAAAAACAAACAGAUGAUACAAUCUUAAUCUGACAUUUUAUAAACAUAUCACCCCAAGACCAGGGUU
This 1555-nucleotide ribosomal RNA is filed under the name Micronycteris schmidtorum. RNAcentral describes it as "16S ribosomal RNA". It matches the Rfam family "Bacterial large subunit ribosomal RNA", at positions 390 to 2852 of the family's 2925-position model. The record is from RNAcentral. Lineage: Eukaryota; Metazoa; Chordata; Mammalia; Chiroptera; Phyllostomidae.